Molecule: long non-coding RNA, 755 nt
Filed under: Brassica napus (rape)
Lineage: Eukaryota; Viridiplantae; Streptophyta; Magnoliopsida; Brassicales; Brassicaceae
Description: long non-coding RNA (BNAP_LNC019879)
Source: RNAcentral
UGUGUUUUCGUUGUCAGAUGAAGUGAGUGAAAUUCAAGAUUAGGAUGAGGCAAGCAAUGAUAAUCAUAGAAACUAUAAAGCAUGUACUGGUAGAAAGAUUAUGUGAAGAAGAAGAAAGAGACAUAAUUGGCAAGAUUUCUCAUUCCUUUACUUCUUAAAGUAAUAAUUUAUAAGACUUAUCAAAUCAAUACUAUUUGCGAAAUGAUUUUUCUUAUUCUAACUCUUACGUUAAAAGUUGGAGUGAUUAAAUUCUUUAAUACCCUUAAUGAAUAUGUAGAUUUGCUAAUAUAUAAUUAAAAAGAGUUAGUGAGUUAUCAUUCAUAAUUAAUUACAUUCAUAUAAUCUAUAUGAAAAGAAAUUGAUUUUAACAAUGUUAUCUGUAUAAAUAAAACGCACAAGAGAGGGUGUUGGCCAUGGAAGAAACGGAAAGCCCAUGAACUACAUCAACAACAUCACUCAAAUUUUAUUUUCUGUAGGUUGACUUUAAUAUUGUUCACUGGUUAUUUUGAUGAAUUAUUCUGAGGAAGAUGAAGUCUUUAAUGAUUGUCUGCGGUUGAGUUGAAUCUCGAUGUUUAUGAAGACUAAACAUUUUUGUAUUUUGAUUUAUAAAUUUUUUUAUUUAUUAUAUAAAUAAUAUAAUAACGCCCAAAAAGAUAAAUCUGUAGGAUAUUAAUCAAGUAAGAAGUAUGUGAUUUUGACAAUUAUUAUCUUGAAAAUAGUAUGUAUUGUGUGAUUAUCCAAAAAUAUUUUCCAUC